UGGGGAAUAUUGCGCAAUGGGGGAAACCCUGACGCAGCAACGCCGCGUGAAGGAUGAAGGCUUUCGGGUUGUAAACUUCUUUGAUGAGGGACGAAAGAAAUGACGGUACCUCAAAAACAAGCCACGGCUAACUACGUGCCAGCAGCCGCGGUAAUACGUAGGUGGCGAGCGUUGUCCGGAAUUACUGGGUGUAAAGGGCGUGUAGGCGGGGAUGCAAGUCAGAUGUGAAAUGCCGGAGCUUAACUCCGGAGCUGCAUCUGAAACUGUGUUUCUUGAGUGUCGGAGAGGAAAGCGGAAUUCCCAGUGUAGCGGUGAAAUGCGUAGAUAUUGGGAGGAACACCAGUGGCGAAGGCGGCUUUCUGGACGAUAACUGACGCUGAGGCGCGAAAGCGUGGGGAGCAAACA
Molecule: ribosomal RNA, 405 nt
Filed under: uncultured bacterium
Lineage: Bacteria
Description: bacterial SSU rRNA
Rfam family: Bacterial small subunit ribosomal RNA
Source: RNAcentral